Molecule: long non-coding RNA, 225 nt
Filed under: Medicago truncatula (barrel medic)
Lineage: Eukaryota; Viridiplantae; Streptophyta; Magnoliopsida; Fabales; Fabaceae
Description: long non-coding RNA (MTRU_LNC003355)
Source: RNAcentral
UCUUGGAUGUCUGAGUCAUUUUACCGAUUGAUCCAUCACCGCUUGGAUAUAAAUAUCCUAUCUCUAGUUGGAUGUCGGAAAUAAUAUAUCAGAGGGGUCCUCUCUCCACUUGGAUAUUGAAAUAUCCUAACACCGAAAUUUAUAAAUGCAUGAACAUAUGACUCACCAAAUGCAUACGUUCAUACAAAACAUCACCAUUUUUACACCAAUCAUUGACUCCAUAAU